GAUGGAGGACGGAAGUAUCAACAAUGGGUUUCCCGAGCAUCACAUGAAUUGAUUGAUAUGUUUCUACCGAUAUGCAUCAUUUAAUUCAUUAAUAAUUAUGCAAAGUUCGUCUUCUCCAUGAUGUAACACACUAAUCUAAUGAUACUAUGUUGAAAUUAUACUACUAAAAUGGUGAAGAUAGCUGUGAUAGGCGCUGGGUUGCUUGGGAUAAAAAUCGCAGGUGAGCUGGCAUACCAUGGCCAUCGUGUUAGGAUCCACGACUCUAACAUAAAGAAUCUUAACAGUGUAUUCCAGCGAAUGGAGGAGGAUAAAAAGAACCUGAGAGAGGAGGGAGUAUUGCUUCAUAAAAACUUCAUUGGCCAGGUCCUAUGUAUGAGCCGGCUAGAGGAGACAGUCUGUGAUGCUGACGUUAUAAUUGAAUGUGUUCUUGAGGACCUUGAGGUGAAGAAAGAUCUCUUUGAAAGAAUUUCUCACCUGUGUAAGCCAGAGGCAGUCCUGUGCAGCAAUACACUGCGGUUGAAGAUGGAUGAUAUUGUUCAAAGGACAAACAAUAAAGAGAGGACGAUGGGUCUGCGUUUCUUGUUCCCCGUGUACUGUAUACCGGAGGUAGAAAUCACACCCAGCUCAUUCUCCUCACAGAAAGCCAUUCAGAAAGUACGGAUCAUGCUGGAGAGGAUGGGGAAGACUUUGUUCUUCAGGUCUGGUGGGGAGCCCCUCAUUUUGUCGGAGGAACAGCGAGAGGAGCGUAAGAAAGCUCGUCUGGAACAGAUCAAGAGCUCGUCGGGAGUGGGCCACCUGUUUGAGAGUAUGAUUCCUGCCUUAUCGCACCAGGGCAAUGUCCCGCAGGACGAGGAGAAGAAAAAGGGCAUGGAAGAGGAUCGGGACCCGGACUGUGCCAUCUGUAUGGACCGAAUGCGAGACUGCCUCCUCUGUCCCUGCCACCAUAUGAUCACGUGUUACGAAUGUUCAAAGAUGCUCCAUAAUCGGCGGGAUGGGUGUCCAGUAUGUCGGAAGGACAUUACAGAACUUAUCCGGGUCUAUCACUCAUAACUACUGAACUCUUGUGAGAAUUUUUACAAAAUUCUUUGAGGAUGUUAACAACAGAAGGGGACAUCAUCCAAGUGAAAUGACCACUGACCAUCGAAGGGGCGUCAGCAUGGUUCCUGAUACAGAACUCUUUUGGAGGAUGCCCCACUACCUUUUUGAUAAAGGGAGGACAAACACUAAGAAAUGAAGUUUGGAAAAGAUGUGAUUUAUCUGUACCUUCUAAAUUUACCUCUGUUACAAUAUUGUGUACAGUCGUGUUCAUAGGAUUAUUGUAGUGUUUGUUUUACUACUGUUUUAAUACAGUAAAGAAAUAAUUUAUUGUUGAGUGAACAAAGACAAUUCAGAAGAUGAUACUAAAUUGUACUGAUGCAGGAUCAAAAUGAGGAAUGAUAUGUACUUAAAUAUGUAGGUAGCAGUAAAGGGAUGAUUUCAAUGUACAGCUGUACUUAAAUAUGUAGGUAGCAGUAAAGGGAUGAUUUCAAUGUACAGCUGUACUUAAAGAUAACAGGCAAUUUUAAUGUAUAUAGGAAUUAACUUAUGUUUUAGCAUUACUUCAUGGGGAAAUUCUUGCGAUAUAUAAGUAAUUGUCUAUAUAUUCUCACAGAUACAUGUAUAUGACGUUCAGGGCAAUGAAAUAAAGAGACAUGCAUAAUAAUUUUUACAAAAAAAAAAACAAUAGAAAAAUUAUGCCAUUUACUUUAUGGUUUGGUCAUAAAUUUCAAAUUGUGGUUGUGACAUGGGAAUCACAAAGCAUCGUAUUUGUUGUUAAUAGCAGACACUCGCAGUAUGUGGGAGUUACCCCCCUUUACACACGCUUCUAUAUGCACUGUGUGUGUGUUUAUAUUUACUGCCUAGGAUCCAAAUCAUAGCAGAGCACUUAACUAAUAGAAUUCUUUAUAUUGUUUUAAUGUGACAAGUAUGUAUAUUAGGCUAGCUGUUUACUUGUUUCAGCAGCAUCUAGUCUGUAGAUGUAAAUAAUAAUCUGGUGUUGUAUUAACUUGUAUACAUAUUGAUUAAGAACAAAUUUCCAGAAUAAUAGGUAUUUCAGGUAAAUGAAGAAAGUAACCGACACACAUUUACCAGCUUUUACUUUACAGGGUGUACCCAUUCAACCCUGCAGACUUCCUCCUGCUGAAUUAUGAUAAAAAGUGCAUCCUAACACUUUGAUGUGUAUAGAAUAAAAACAUAAACAAAGGCUGUACUGACAUGCCCAUGUAACAAGAUAUAACAGCACUCCCAAGAUUUUACAUUGUGUCUUUGUCACUGUUUUCAGCCAACCAUGAAUUAUUUAAAACAAAACAAAAACUUGUUCAAAGUUACUUUUUUUGUUUCCAUGGCUUCACUGUGAUGUGUGUAGAUAUGGAUGAAUGAUCACAGUUAAUAGAUCUAGAUGUGAAACUUCAGAUAAUCACCUGUAGCCAUCUACAAGACAAUAUCACUUAAAAUUUUAAAAAAAACUGUGGAUAUUAAAUGGAGGGAAUUUAACAUCUGUGAAUAGCUGAAUUGUCUGGUCCAUCAGGCAGCUGUCGUGUCUAGUCCAUCAGCUAGCAUUUGUGACCAUGCUGAAAAGUUGAUGAUUAUCCACAUGCUAAAGUUAGCAUAGUGAAGUGGGACGUGUAUACGAGGAUGGCUGUUUGGCGUGAAUCAAAGCCUGGUGAUCGGUUAUACCAGUCGCUGUUAACAAUACCUUACCAGUGUUUCAUUGUCUUAUGUAGAAGUAAGUUUGCUUGACUUCAACAUUUCUGUAUUGUCAUCUUUCAAUUUCUUAAUCAUGUGCAGACAGAUGAUCUUCACAAUAUUCUAACCCGAUUGUUAUAUUUGUAAAAACAAAUUAGCUGGUCUAUCACAUUGUGUUACAUAUAUUUCAGGCAUUAAUUCCUGUGAUGGGAAGUAAAUAAGUGAUUAUCAUCGGGAAAUCAAAUACCUAAAAAUUGGUUUUAUUUGGAGUUUUACUGUUUCUGAAAUUAUUAUGCAUCAUGAAAUAUUGUCCGUUAUAUCUUACUGUUAAGAAUAAGCUAACAAUUAGGUUUCAGUAAACUGAUGUCAGACAUCUUAGAAUUUAAUUAAAGAUAAUGACAAAGUGUUUAUUGAUACUACUAGCUACAUUUAAGGUGUUGUCUAUUUAGAUAUUAAAAUUUGUUUUGUGUUUUGUUUUUAAUGAAUAAAAUCAUUUUGACUUGCUAUCCUUUCAUUAGAGAUUGAUGAUCACGCCAAGGCUUGCACUUUACACAUUAUAUCUGCGAGUUGUACCGUAGUUAUAUUCAAAUACUUUAAUAAGUAACUACCCUACACAUUAUACAGACUGCGACUUGUGUUGGAGCUACCUUCAUGAUCUGAUUUAGAAUUAAUGGAAAUACUGUUAAUACAAACCUAUCGGUUAAGAUUCAUUAGAUAACAGACAAAUGUGUUUAGUGUUGAAUUCGUUUAGAACUGAAGAAACAAGAUACAUGUUUCAGUAGGGUAGUUUAAAAACUUCAUGAUAGGUAUCGUAUAUUUCCUUUGAAAUGAUAACACGUGGACUAAGAUGUAUCUGUGAUAUUUGUUAACUAUUUGUAGCGGCAUUGUCACUUUUUGUGUCAUUUCUAUAACUAUUUAAGUUGUUAUCGAAAAAUAAACAUUUAUU
RNAcentral lists this unclassified non-coding RNA (3670 nucleotides) under Mizuhopecten yessoensis (Yesso scallop). RNAcentral's name for it is "probable 3-hydroxybutyryl-CoA dehydrogenase, transcript variant X1". Lineage: Eukaryota; Metazoa; Mollusca; Bivalvia; Pectinida; Pectinidae. The record is from RNAcentral.